ACGCUCGACACCUACGGGAGGUAGCAGUUGGGAAUAUUGGACAAUGGAGGAAACUCUGAUCCAGUGACGCCGCGUGAAGGAAGAAGGUCUUCGGAUUGUAAACUUAUUUUGUCAGGGAAGAAAAAUGACUGUACCUGAAGAAAAAGCACCGGCUAACUACGUGGCAGCAGCCGCGGUAAUCUGAGCGGGCUGGCAAGGC
This 199-nucleotide ribosomal RNA is filed under the name uncultured bacterium. RNAcentral describes it as "partial 16S ribosomal RNA". It matches the Rfam family "Bacterial small subunit ribosomal RNA", at positions 328 to 539 of the family's 1533-position model. The record is from RNAcentral.